This 403-nucleotide ribosomal RNA is filed under the name uncultured Bodomorpha. RNAcentral's name for it is "partial small subunit ribosomal RNA". It matches the Rfam family "Eukaryotic small subunit ribosomal RNA", at positions 30 to 432 of the family's 1831-position model. Lineage: Eukaryota; Cercozoa; Glissomonadida. The record is from RNAcentral.
GCUUGUCUCAAAGAUUAAGCCAUGCAUGUCUAAGUAUAAACAUCUUUAUACAGUGAAACUGCGUACAGCUCAUUAUAUCAGUUAUUAUUUAUUUGAUGGUACCUUACUACAUGGAUACCCGUAGUAAUUCUAGAGCUAAUACAUGCGUCAAGUCCCGACUUUUUGGAAGGGAUGUAUUUAUUAGAUAAAAAACCAAUGCAGGCAACUGCUCUCUUGGUGAUUCAUAGUAACUUUUCGGAUCGCACGACUUCACGUUGGCGACAGUUCAUUCAAAUUUCUGCCCUAUCAGCUUUCGACGGUACUGUAGUGGACUACCGUGGCAUUAACGGGUGACGGAGAAUUAGGGUUCGAUUCCGGAGAGGGAGCCUGAGAAACGGCUACCACAUCCAAGGAAGGCAGCAGG